Molecule: ribosomal RNA, 305 nt
Filed under: uncultured bacterium
Lineage: Bacteria
Description: bacterial SSU rRNA
Rfam family: Bacterial small subunit ribosomal RNA
Source: RNAcentral
UUUCCUACGGGAGGCAGCAGUAGGGAAUCUUCCACAAUGGGCGAAAGCCUGAUGGAGCAACGCCGCGUGAGUGAAGAAGGUCUUCGGAUUGUAAAGCUCUGUUCUUGGUGAAGAUAAUGACGGUAGCCAAGGAGAAAGCUCCGGCUAACUACGUGCCAGCAGCCGCGGUAAUACGUAGGGAGCGAGCGUUGUCCGGAUUUACUGGGUGUAAAGGGUGCGCAGGCGGCUCUGCAAGUCAGGCGUGAAAGCUAGGGGCUCAACCCCUCAACUGCGCUUGAAACUGUGGAGCUUGAGUGAAGUAGAGG